RNAcentral lists this ribosomal RNA (498 nucleotides) under uncultured bacterium. RNAcentral describes it as "bacterial SSU rRNA". It matches the Rfam family "Bacterial small subunit ribosomal RNA", at positions 8 to 518 of the family's 1533-position model. The record is from RNAcentral.
AGGGUUCGAUUCUGACUCAGAACGAACGCUGGUGGCGUGUCUUAUACAUGCAAGUCGAGCGAGGCAGCAAUGCCGAGCGGCGAACGGGUGAGUAACGCGUAAGCAAUCUGCCCCAUAUCAGGAAAUACCCGUGCCAACGCGCGGUUAAUGUCCAGGAGAGUGGCCCUCCGCAUGGAGGGUUGACUAGAGAUUUAUCGGUAUGGGAUGAGCUUGCGUCCGAUUAGCUAGUUGGCGGGCAACGGCCCACCAAGGCGACGAUCGGUAGCCGGCCUGAGAGGGUGAUCGGCCACAUUGGGACUGAGAUACGGCCCAGACUCCUACGGGAGGCAGCAGUAGGGAAUAUUGCACAAUGGGGGAAACCCUGAUGCAGCAACGCCCACGUGUGGGAAGAAGCAUUUCGGUGUGUAAACCACUGUCAUGAGGGAAUAAGGCCCGCCUUCGGACGGGAUUGAAUGUACCUUGAAAGGAAGCACCGGCAAACUUCGUGCCAGCCGCCGC